This 180-nucleotide unclassified non-coding RNA is filed under the name Glomeraceae sp. Its description in RNAcentral is "partial internal transcribed spacer 2". The stretch from base 1 to 72 matches the Rfam family "5.8S ribosomal RNA", at positions 84 to 154 of the family's 154-position model. Lineage: Eukaryota; Fungi; Glomeromycota; Glomeromycetes; Glomerales; Glomeraceae. The record is from RNAcentral.
GUGAAUCAUCGAAUCUUUGAACGCAAAUUGCACUCCCUGGUUUUCCGGGGAGGAAUGCCUGUUUGAGGGUCUGCCUAACAAAAAUCGAAGUUGUUGCUGUUUUAUGGUGCCUUUGGUCGGAGAUGGGUUAUCUUAGAUCUCGGUUUAAGCGACUUAAAAAUUUUUUUUUCGACUCUAAGA